AUCUGUUAAAACUUAUUUCUGUGACAGGUCUGACUGAAUUCAGUGGACAGUUUAAAGUAUUGCGAAAAAGUACAAAUAUAAAACACUGCGCUGCCAAGUUACUGCCAAAGGCUAGAUAUAGUGGUGUUCGUGCAUCAAACACAACUAAACAAUGUGAGCAUUUAUUUGGGCCAUUAGAUGAGAACAGUAUGGAACCAGGAUAUGGAUAUGCAAAACUUAUAUCGUGGAAAGAAUCAUACAUGCCGCCGAAAGAAAUUCGACAUCUCGAACCUUGGACUUUCGAUGCCUUUGGUAUUUUCGGUGUUGAUUCUCGUAUGGACUUUAACUUCACUUGGCCAGAGAAGACUUGGGAUAAAAUUUGUUUGUCGUUCUAUGAAGCACCAGGGACACUCAAUAUGUUUCGAGCUUG
Long non-coding RNA from Ruditapes philippinarum (Manila clam), 409 nucleotides. RefSeq lists it as uncharacterized. The transcript has 4 exons. The record is from RefSeq and is a predicted model, not a curated record. Lineage: Eukaryota; Metazoa; Mollusca; Bivalvia; Venerida; Veneridae.